GUCACUGUGGUGCAGAGGUUAGCAUGUGUGCUUGGCACCGCCAAGGUUGCAGGUUUGAAUCUUGUCCUCAACA
This is a non-coding RNA of Caranx melampygus (bluefin trevally), 73 nucleotides long. NCBI's taxonomy places the organism in Eukaryota, Metazoa, Chordata, Actinopteri, Carangiformes, Carangidae. The record is from the annotation of a GenBank genome assembly.